Long non-coding RNA from Mizuhopecten yessoensis (Yesso scallop), 6014 nucleotides. RefSeq lists it as uncharacterized. The transcript has 2 exons. NCBI's taxonomy places the organism in Eukaryota, Metazoa, Mollusca, Bivalvia, Pectinida, Pectinidae. The record is from RefSeq and is a predicted model, not a curated record.
GGCAAUGACUUUACACUCUCCGCAUCUUUUUCAAACUUAGCUGUUUUCGUAUGUCAUGUUAAGUUUACAAGAUUUCAAUACUGUCAGUUACGUUUUCCGAGUUUAUUCUAUUGCAAUACAAAGCAGACAUUUGUAUAUUCUCCUCUUUAUGUAUCGAUGUGCUUACAUUUUGCAAGUCUAUUUUAUUUCAGUUAUUUACAAUUUUUUGGUGAUGUUCGACGUAUUACCAACUACAUCGCAUUGGUAUUUCUGAAAAAAAUAGAAGAAAGAUAUACGUUACUGAUUUAAUAUUUAAUCCAAAUCACUGAUGCAAAUUAUUUCGUGCACGAUAUGAAAUCAAAACGACUUAGAUUGAACAUCCGCUACGUUAAUAUCUUUUUCAAUACAAAGUGAAAUUUCAGUCAAUCAACUAUUUAAAACAAUAUACCGAGUCUAAAAUUAAGAUCAUGUCAAAAAUACACUACGUAACCGUAGCAUCUGGUUGGCAGAACCGCCAUUAGUCUAUUUAGCUGCAAAAGACCAUCCUCGUCGAAUUAUCGCCAUUGCUCGUCUUGUCAUAACAGCAGGUCCGGCAAAAACUGUAUGUUUAUCUGGUUGUUGUUGAAAACAAUGAACAACUGUUCACAAUGUAGAAUACGGGAGUCCACGUGGAGAUAAAAGCAUACUUUAUAGAUGGUGAGGGAAGUUGGUUCUUAGAGCACGCAAUUCAUACAUGAUUCAAUAACGUCUGGCCAUGUAUGUAUACAUGUUCUGCCCUUUACUUACAUACUGCAAUACGACCAUGAACAAUUAAUGGAUUUCGUUCUUAGUCCUUGGUACAUGUAUACUCUUCAUUUAAUGUCAUGUCAGUAUGUCUCCGCUAAGGAUAUAGUGUACCCCAUCUAUUAACAGCAUAUCCAUUUUGGUUUGGUGUUUACCUGUUUCUAGAGAGUAAAUUGCAGUUUCCUUUCCUGUUGAAACGCAAGCCGUCGACAACAAGAUAAAACUGAAGAUAUAUUCGACUGCAUGAUCGCUUGUUCGACGUUGCGGUUGCUUGGCAACACGCCAUCUGAAACCAUCACCUUUUUUAAAUGUUUCAAUUAAAACUGGCCCGUUUCACCUAGGAGUCGACUUGAUGAUCAAUGUUCUGGCAAAUAGGACCAUCUCACGGAAGCAGACGAAACCCCACUGAUGGGAGAAUGGACAGGCGCUUUUUAUACUAACAGACGACAGUUAGAAAGCAUUGCAAAAUAUGAUAAAAAUGCUUCACUAGAAGAAACGUCCGGGACAUCAAUAGAUGAACAGAUUUUUUGGAGAAAUUCCUUUUGAGCACACAAGACGACUUCAAUUUUUAAACACCAUUUAAGGACAAAACAGACAGACCGUUAUCACCUAGCAGAUGAUUUAGGUCAUUGAAGAACGUUAUGGACUUUUAGUGAAAACAUAAUGAACUUUUUUUAAUCAAAAGACCCGACCAACACUAACGAUGGAAAAAUGGAAAAUAUCGGUUUACAGAAGAAUUGUAAGGACAAACUGUAAUGACACGAUAGGAGUAUUUACACCACAGUAGACGACUGAGCAACGCAGACAAUACCUUUUCAAUAAUACUGCCUAGUUCUCUUGUCCACAGCAGACGCCUGUUGAAUGUACAGUAAUUCGUUGACUUUCGCACAGCACGUUUCUCUGCAACAUAGCAGACGACGGUUAGAAGUAAAGUGACUAAGAAGACGAACAGACUGGGCCUAUUCACUUAAACAACUGCACGGUUCUCUGCGCCACAACAGCCGACUGUUGGACGUAAAGCAAUUAAUAAACGAACAGACUGGGCCUUUUCAGUAAAACGAACACAAUGUUUCUCUGCGCCACAGAAAACAAAUGUUGGACGUAAACAAUUUGAAGACGAACAGACUUGGCCUUUUCAGUUUAACAACUACAUGUAACUCGGCGCCACAGCAGACGACUGUUGGACAAAGCGAUUGAAGACGAACAGACUUGGCCUUCCCAGUUAAACAACUGCAUGUUUCUCAGCGCCACAGCACUGUGUUGGACAAGGCGAUUUCAAGACGAACAGGCUUGGCCUUUUCAGUUUAACAACUACAUGUUUCUCAGCGCUACAGCAGACGACUGUUGGACAAAACGAUUGAAGACGAACAGACUUGGCCUUCUCAGUUAAACUACAUGUUUCUCAGCUCCACAACAGAUGACUGUUGGACAAAGUGAUUGAAGAUGAACAGACGUAGCAUUUUCAUUUUAAAAACUACAUGCUUCUCUGCGACACACCAGACGACUGUAGGACAAAGUGAUUGAAGACGAACAGACUUGGCCUUUUUAGAUAAACAACUGCAGGUUUCUUUGCGCCACAACAGACGACUGUUUGACGUAAAGGGAUUUGAAGAAGAAGAAUAGGCGUUUUCAGUAAAACAAUACAAUGUUUCCCUGCGCCAUGGCAGAUAACUGUUGGAGGAACGAAAUUUAAAGACGAACAGACUUGGCCUUUUCAUAUUAACAACUACGUUUCUCUGCGCCACAGCAGACGACUGUUGGACAAAGCGAUUGAAGACGAACAGACUGGGCCUUUUCAGUAAAAAAAACACAAUGUUUCUCUGUGCCACAACAGACGACUGUAGGACAAAGUGAUUGAAGACGAACAGACUGGGCCUUUUCAGUUAAACAACCACAUGUUUCUCUGCACCACAGCAGACGACUGUUGGACAAAGCGAUUUGAAGACGAACAGACAGGGCCUUUUCAGUAAAACAACACAAUGUUUCUCUGCGCCACAGCAGACGACUGUAGGACAAAGCGAUUGAAGACGAACAGACAGGGCCACAGCAGACGACUGUUUGACGUAAAGGGAUUUGAAGAAGAAUCAUAGGCCUUUUCAGUAAAACAACACAAUGUUUCCCUGCGCCAUGGCAGAUCACUGUUGGAGGAACGAAAUUUAAAGACGAACAGACUGGGCCUUUUCAUUUUAACAACUACAUGUUUCUCUGCGCCACAGCAGACGACGGUAGGACAACGUGAUUGAAGACGAACAGACAUAGUCUUUUCAAUUAAACAACUGCAUGUUUCUCUGCGCCACAGCAGAUGACUGUUGGACGUAAAGCGAUUUGAAGACGAACAGAGUCUUUUCAGUUAAACAACUGCAUGUUUCUCUGCGCUACAGCAGACAAAUAUCGAACGUGAAGCGAUUUGAAGACACACAGACUUGGUCUUUUCAUUUUAAAAACUACAUGCUUCUCUGCGCCACAGCAGACGACUGUUGGACAAAGCGAUUUGGAGGUGAACAGACUUAGCCUUUUUAUUAUAACUGGGUGUUUGUUUGUGUCACAGUUAACGACUGUUUGGCAUGAAGUUAUUUGAAGAUGAAGUGACUGGGCCUUUUCAGUUAAAAACACUGCAUAUUUCUCUCCAAAACAGAAAUGACUGUUGGACGUAAAGCCAUGGUUCUCUUCACAACAAACUUCUUACAUUAUCUUAACCAAAAACUCAACAUGGCAGACGACAACAUAAUAAAAAUGCACUGUUGGACGAACGGACUGGUUCUUUGAAACAACGGAGACCAAAACAAGGUAACACAAAGCAGUAGAUCCGUUAAGGUCUUUACGCCAUUUCAGACGACUUCAUUACACAAAACCUAAACCGACGAAACAGACAGGUGAUCAGAUGACAACGUCACAGCAAUCCAUCACACUGGGUCUUUUCCACAAAAUAGAUGACUAUAUCAUAACCUUUAGUGAAAAGUACCAGCUUAAGUCAUUGGACGAAUUGACAGGGACUUUCAUCAAAUGCAGACGACUAAGACAUGAGAGUUCUGUUCUAUACUCUCACAGAAAGUUCAUCAUAGAAGACAACUUAUUGACAAGGACGAAUGAGAGACGAAACUGACAGGUCCUCAUCAUAAAAACAGAUGGCUUCAAAACAGAAGCAAACACUAAUAGAAGGACAAACUAGAUCUUUUAAGUCCUUUUCAUUAUAGCAGUCAAAUCAAGGACAUAAAACUGCUGACGGACAAAAGCCGACAGAUUCUUCUUAACAUAGCACUGACUAAAGGAAGAAGUGCAUUGAGGUGCUCGAUUGGUUGGAUGUUAAUCCACAAAUGGAGGAAUCGAAUUCACCUCCUCAUUAAAACUCACUGAAACUUGUUUUGUUCCAUGUGUAUGGAAGAACUUGCACUGUUGACCCAAGUGAAAUACGAGCAAUGGACACGUGACCUUUUCCUUUCAAAUAUAACCAUGACCUUACAAAAAAUGACCACAAAAAAUUCACAGCCUUGCUGCAGUUGGCAUUAUGUCGGCAUAAGUUUUGCAAGAAGAUUCAUCAAAAUUCCACGUUUUCUCCCAGAGUGAUUCAUUUUCAAAAGAAGAAAAAAAUCAGAAGAAGUUUUCAUAUGUCCUUUUCUUCUAGCAUAACUGAAACCAAUCAUUUUUGACACGAUCUUGACUUUUGACUUACAAUUACAUGAUUUUAUAUUGGUAAUGAUAAACAUGGACAUUCAAUUGCUAAGUUGCUUUCAACAAGCUUAGCUAGUAUCAUUUUAUAUAUACAUAUUACAUACUAAUUAACAUUAACAAAUACAGUGUAAUUAUUAAUGGCAAAUUAUUUCAAUGGACUUUUGACAAUAUUAUGAAAAAUGACUCUUGACCAAAAGAACAUAUUUACAUGUAGCUACAAUAAAUUUGAAAAGACAAUUACUAGACUGAAAUAAAUUGCUCUCAAAGUCACAAUAACCUCACAUGUAAAAUUAUACAUGUCAACAUUAGUUCAUGUCAGCAAUAGAUUUCAUGUCAUAACAAUCUGACAAAGAGUAGUGCACCAUGACAAGUUUCGUUACAAUACACCACAAUGACAACUAAUCUACACAAUGUUGUCUUCUUUGCGGACUCUGCAAUAUUUUGACCAUUAAUUGAACUAAAUAGACAGAUUCUUACAUAGCCAUCCUAGCUACGUUGAUCUUUUUUCAGAACCCCAACAAAGUCUCUGCUCUGGCCCAACUUCUACACCCUAUGCUAGAAUUUCCAUAUUCCCAAUUUUUACAUAUAACAGAGACUUACUCAAAAAACAACUUACAACAAAAAAUGCAUCAAUACUCAAUAGCACAACAUCAAGAAAAUGCCUUCUCUCAUCCAAUUAUGUGCAGUUAUAAUAUAAACACACACAAAGUAUAAAAAGAAUAUGUGUUGGCUUGUAAGGAAUGAAAAUGACACUUAACGUGGCAUUGUGGUAAUUAUAAGAUCAUGACAAUUGCAUCAUGACAUUAUUAAACAAUCAAAAAGCACUUCAAGCGUGGAACUGGCAUGGAAAUGGAUAGUGUUCUCAUGCUGUAUAAGCCAAAUAUGCAAUAAAAUCCAUUUUUCAUAAUUGUUUGUGAAAUUAGGCUCCAUUCCACUCUUGUGGCUGUGACUUGAGGGGAACAACCUUCAUGUCGGGUAUUACUCCUGUUCAUAACCGAUCAUGUGAUGAACAUUCCCAGCCUUCAACACAUAAAUAUGAAAACAGUCCUGUAGUAUUAAUUUUUUGAAAUGGGACAGGGAGAUUGUGCUGAAGGGGGCUAAUAAUGGGUACGAUUGAGAGAUAUCACUCCUGUAUAAUAAUGUAGACCGAAAUUUCAACCCAAGAAAAAAUAUUUAUGAGGUACAACACCAAGCUUUGCUAGGCACCUAUUCUCAAAAGAUUAAUGUCUUCACCAUACUACAGUUGCUACACAUGUGCCCCAUGAAUGAUAGUUAAUCUUCAGUUGAAUAUUAUGUCUGAAAUACCGCUAUUUUUACCAAACAGAUUUUUUUGCAAUUUUACAAAAUAUUUAUUUUCUUGUGGCUAAUAAUAGCAUCACAUCACUCACCUUGUUAAUUGGUAAUAGUUCAGAACAAUAUCCACAUAAACAUUACAAGAUAUUUAUUAUUACUGGCUCACCUGGUUUAGUUACAAGCCUUCAAUCUACCUUCCAAACCUAACACUGCAUUACCUCCCUUUUUCCUCAGAAGUUACAUUGUAUAUACUUCCCCUUUCAUUACGCCACAUCCGUGUGAAAAUUGCC